RNAcentral lists this ribosomal RNA (369 nucleotides) under uncultured bacterium. RNAcentral's name for it is "bacterial SSU rRNA". It matches the Rfam family "Bacterial small subunit ribosomal RNA", at positions 525 to 896 of the family's 1533-position model. The record is from RNAcentral.
ACGGAGGGUCCAAGCGUUAUCCGGAAUCAUUGGGUUUAAAGGGUGCGCAGGCGGUAAAGUAAGUCAGUGGUGAAAUCUCUCGGCUCAACCGAGAAACUGCCAUUGAUACUGCUAUACUUGAAUACAGUUGAAGUAGGCGGAAUGUGUAGUGUAGCGGUGAAAUGCUUAGAUAUUACACAGAACACCGAUAGCGAAGGCAGCUUACUAAACUGAUAUUGACGCUCAUGCACGAAAGCGUGGGGAGCGAACAGGAUUAGAUACCCUGGUAGUCCACGCCGUAAACUAUGAUUACUCGUUCUCGGCGAUAUACGGUCGGGGACUAAGCGAAAGUGAUAAGUAAUCCACCUGGGGAGUACGAUCGCAAGAUUG